RNAcentral lists this long non-coding RNA (1155 nucleotides) under Triticum aestivum (bread wheat). RNAcentral describes it as "long non-coding RNA (TAES_LNC028537)". The record is from RNAcentral. Lineage: Eukaryota; Viridiplantae; Streptophyta; Magnoliopsida; Poales; Poaceae.
GCAAACUCUGGCUUUUACUGUUUAAAUGUUAAGCAUUUAAAACAUGAGAAUGAGAUGUCCAAUAAGAUAGUGCAUCAUAAUGCACAAGCAAGCUAAAACAGGAAGACGAAAGAAACCAGGGCAGGGUUAAAGAGUUAACAGCACCACACAAUGACAGAAUGAAGAAAUGGGGCAACAUGGUACGUGCAAUCCCCAUGACCGCAACCAUAAGAAAGCAUGCUCUAACAUUAAUAUUAGGCCAAAAAGAUAUUACCUUGAUUCACAGCAGGAUACAAUCAUGUAGAACAAAGCAAAAUACCCAAGGCAAACAUAACAUUUCUGCUGCCGUGUGUUUGUAAUCAAGGCAGUUCACUACUAACUGGAAAUGUGACAAAAUAACUAGUCGCCAAACAAGUCAUCAUCACUAUCAUCAGCCGGAUUUGCGUCCACAUCCCUGCUAGACUUCUUUUCAUCAACAACUUUGACUUGCUCUGGCUGGCCAUCUGAUUUAUACGCCCAUGAUGAGCCCGGUUUUGCUGGAACAGAGUCCCCGUAAAGGUCAUCAUACAUACCACCUCUGGAUGUGCUUUUAACUUUGUUAAGCAUCUGUUGUAGCUUAUCUGUUACCCCACUGUUGGAGGCACUGUCCUUUGAUGAAGUUUGCUCCUUUCCUUUUGGUAUGACAGUGACCUGUACAAGAGACUCGUACUUCCCAACAAGACUGCCUUCCUUCACACCUACUGGGCCUGGUUCAGUUUCAACAUCUGCACCAUCAGAAAUCCCAACCACCUGAAUAAGCUCCCCACCAACCUGAUCUCUAAAUGACACUCUCCGCUUUCUGAUUCUCUUUGAUGGUCUACCGACUGCCUGGUUGUCAUCAUUAACAGCAGAAGCAUCCCCAGAAGAACCUUUUCUCUUCAAUGGCACGUCUGAUUUGCUAACACCAUAGCGAUUCAGUAUUGUAUUGUAUGCAACAACGGCAUCUUCAUCGUCAGAGUCUGGAGGGGACGGCAAACUCACAUCUGACGGGAGACUUUGAGUGGGGAAAAAAGCAGCCGUGUUCUUUCGUAGAACAUAUGCUCUGGUUGAUGCAGCAAAGCGAAGUGACUGUCCAACUUCAAGUUCAACAGGGUUGUCCUUGGUUAAUCUCUCGUUUGCAACAAAUGUACCGUGGAC